Molecule: ribosomal RNA, 497 nt
Filed under: uncultured bacterium
Lineage: Bacteria
Description: partial 16S ribosomal RNA
Rfam family: Bacterial small subunit ribosomal RNA
Source: RNAcentral
GAUGAACGCUGGCGGCGUGCCUAAUACAUGCAAGUCGAGCGAACGGACGAGAAGCUUGCUUCUCUGAUGUUAGCGGCGGACGGGGGAGUAACACGUGGAUAACCUACCUAUAAAACUGGGAUAACUUCGGGAAACCGGAGCUAAUACCGGAUAAUAUUUUGAACCGCAUGGUUAAAAAGUAAAAGACGGUCUUGCGGUCACUUAUAGAUGGACCCGCGCUGCAUUAGCUAGUUGGUAAGGUAACGGAUUACCAAGGCAACGAUGCAUAGCCGACCUGAGAGGGUGAUCGGCCACACUGGAACUGAGACACGGUCCAGACUCCUACGGGAGGCAGCAGUAGGGAAUCUUCCGCAAUGGGCGAAAGCCUGACGGAGCAACGCCGCGUGAGUGAUGAAGGUCUUCGGAUCGUAAAACUCUGUUAUUAGGGAAGAACAUAUGUGUAAGUAACUGUGCACAUCUUGACGGUACCUAAUCAGAAAGCCACGGCUAACUCCGUG